CCUACGGGUGGCAGCAGUGGGGAAUAUUGCACAAUGGGGGAAACCCUGAUGCAGCGACGCCGCGUGAGUGAAGAAGUAAUUCGUUACGUAAAGCUCUAUCAGCAGGGAAGAAAAUGACGGUACCUGAGUAAGAAGCCCCGGCUAACUACGUGCCAGCAGCCGCGGUAAUACGUAGGGGGCAAGCGUUAUCCGGAUUUACUGGGCGUAAAGGGAGCGUAGGCGGGGCGCCAAGUCAGGAGUGAAAUGCCGCAGCUUAACUGUGGAACUGCUUUUGAAACUGGCGAACUAGAGUGCGGGAGGGGUAGGCGGAAUUCCUAGUGUAGCGGUGAAAUGCGUAGAUAUUAGGAGGAACACCGAUGGCGAAGGCAGCAUACCGGCGCUCAACUGACGCUCAUGCACGAAAGUGUGGGUAGCGAACAGGAUUAGAUACCCGGGUAGUC
This 440-nucleotide ribosomal RNA is filed under the name uncultured bacterium. Its description in RNAcentral is "partial 16S ribosomal RNA". It matches the Rfam family "Bacterial small subunit ribosomal RNA", at positions 338 to 795 of the family's 1533-position model. The record is from RNAcentral.